CUUCUGGAUUCAACUUAAAAGGUACACUCCCCAAAAGCCUGAAUUUGAGAACACUUAGGUUUAAGGGGAAGGAAGAAGGAAGGUCCCAGGAUACCUCCCCCACCUAGAGCACUGAGUCUCCAGUGGUAGCUGGAACCUCUGGGCAGGCAAGGGUGCUGGUCUGGAGGGAGUGCCUUGCUAUGUGAACUUUAAAACUACUCCACCCUACUCUGACCAUACUUUAGAAGAUUUGAUUUUGCUAUCUCCUGAUUGUAACAAUGGAGAUACUUGGUCUAACAGAAUCAGGAAUAUCUUGGGAACUUUACAUUGCUCCAAUUUACUUAGUCUAAUAAGGUCAGGAAUGUCUGCACCAAUACUUAAGGAUUAAGUAUUUAGCAUGAUGGCUUUUGAUAGACGUGUGCAGAAACAGCUGACAGACCCCUGGGCUGUCCUAAGUCAAGCUAAGCUACUAUUGGUACAGAUAAGAUGCAGGAAAGUGAUGUAAAACCGUCUAUAUAGGGCAGGUCACUUCCUCUCUUUGCUUCUUUUCCUAGAGAGGUGGCUCUGGAUGAUCACUUCCUGUGAGCAGGCCUGGGUGGCAGUUUGAUCCUGGAACUCAGCCUGCAGGAGCUCCCUCAGACAGCUUCCUUGAGAUGGUCUCAUGAUGAGGACACUUAGGAUCAGAAAAGCAAAGUGACUUGCUCAAGCUGGAUUUCAGAGUCAAGAUGGUGGAGUCCAGUUUGCAUCCUGGAGAUAAAUGAAUGGGACAGAAAGGAGUCAGAAUGAGCUCCACCUCCACCCAAGAUCCAAAAUGAAUCUUCCUCAAACAGUUAAUGCUUCAAGGUCCAUUGACUUCUUCAGUCUAGGAAGAAGAAUGAGAAGGUCAUCAAAGUUUUUUAAAUGGAACAUUUUGCUACAAAAGCCUCUUUUCCUUCUCUGCCUCU
RNAcentral lists this long non-coding RNA (923 nucleotides) under Monodelphis domestica (gray short-tailed opossum). Its description in RNAcentral is "lncRNA (ENSMODG00000036692.1)". The record is from RNAcentral. Lineage: Eukaryota; Metazoa; Chordata; Mammalia; Didelphimorphia; Didelphidae.